This 217-nucleotide ribosomal RNA is filed under the name uncultured bacterium. RNAcentral describes it as "partial 16S ribosomal RNA". It matches the Rfam family "Bacterial small subunit ribosomal RNA", at positions 524 to 739 of the family's 1533-position model. The record is from RNAcentral.
UACAGAGGGUGCGAGCGUUGUCCGGAAUCACUGGGCGUAAAGGGCGCGUAGGUGGCGACCCAAGUCGAUGGUGAAAGCUCGCCGCUCAACGGCGAGUCGGCCACCGAUACUGGGUUGCUGGAGCACUGUAGAGGCAGAUGGAAUUCCGGGUGUAGCGGUGGAAUGCGUAGAGAUCCGGGAAGAACACCGGUGGCGAAGGCGGCUACCUGGACCGGUU